CCUCCCCUCCCCACCCUCAUUUUAGGGUUAGCAGCUAAGGGAGCAGCGUUUUUCUGAAGAGAGGUUGUAUUCUUCUAGAGCUGUCACUGGCUGUUGGAAGGGCUUCCUGAGGUUCCUGCUGCACUGUUUGCUCUCUUGGGUUAGAAAGGCCACAAGCUGUUUCUGCUCUCAGUGGAAUUCCAAGGGGUGUGCAUUAUAAUCGAGUGGCACGAAGACAUUUCAAUUGGUGCAGUUUCCAGCAAGCUCACAGUGAACAAUAGGAUACAUGGCCAGCUGGGAUUUACUAGACACUUCCAAAACAUCGUUAUUUCCAGUUUGAAAUGCUAUCCACUGUGAAGUCAAAUCCCUGCAGUGAGACUGCUGAGACUUUACACUCUGCCAGAGUAAAGGCGCUGCCCUGAUCGCAUGUAGUCCAACUGGAGCCAUGUCUGGGAGAGGAAACUGAACAGAGACAGGGCGGGUUGGAAACUCUGUCCUGGUCACUGUGUUCACGGCUGCUAUAAAAAGACUUGAGUCAAUCGUGAAUUUUGUCAGAACAUUCUAAUACAGAUAGAAGGAGAAGGUCACUUUGAAAAUAGCUCCUAUUUAUUUGUCUGUCGUUGCUCAUAAGAAAUUAAGUACAUGCACCAGAUGCUAGAUUGGCUGUGCCCUUUGUUCAUAACACAGGCAAUUAAAACAAAAAGAAGAAUACCCAAGUGGUAUAGUUUUAAUAAUCUUGAAGAUUAGCUACUAAUCCCAAAUCAGAAUGAAUUUUCCAUCAGAGUGACUUGUAGAUCUCUGUCACUAUAAAUCUUGCCUAGUGAAGUCCAUUACCCUAAGGAAUGUUCAUGGACUACAGAAAAAAGCCAGGAUCAUUGAUUAGAAAAAAUAAAGGUAAAACAUUGUCUGGAAGGUGCUGUGUUGGUGACUUGUAGGUGCACACAAAACUCAGCCCUGCUUCUAUUCUUAUAUACAAGGUGAAUAGCUUUGAGAAGUUAAGCACCCAUCCACCAUCAUUUCUAUUUACUUUACUUCUAUUGAAGUCAUGGAAUACUUAGAGUUGGAAGGGACCUUUAAAGGCUGGCUAGUCCAACUCUCCUACACUGAUCAGGGAUGUCCAUGAGUAGACCAAGUUGCCCAGGGCCUGAUUCAGCCUGGCCUCAACGGUGCAUCAACCACAUGUCUGGGCAACUUGUUCCAGUGCCUUACUGCCUUUACUGUAAAAGUACUUUUCCUUAUAUCCAACCUCAGUCUACCCUCUCUAAGUUUGAAAUAAUUUCCCCUUGUUCUGUCUCCACAGACCCUGCAAAAGAGCCUGUCCCUUUUUUUUUUUUUUUUUUUUUUUCCCCUGUAAGCUUCCCUUUACACACAUAAAGGCCACUAUUUGGUUAUUUGGAGCCUUCCCUUCUCUAGGCUGAAUAGCCCCAGCUCUCCUCAUAGGAUGGGUGAUCCUCCAUCCCUUGGAUCAUUUUUGUGGUCCUCUGGAUGCUCUCUGGCAAGAAGCAGUGUUCCAAGUGAGGUCUCACUAGUGCAGAGUAGAGGGGCAGGGUCACCUCCCUCAAUCCGCAGGCCACACUUCUUUUGAUGCAGGACAGGAUGCAGUUGGCUUUCUGGCUUGAGGCUCUUGUCCCAGCUUCCCACCGACCAGUACUGCCAAGUUCUUUUUGGCAGGGCUGUACUCAAUGCUUUCUUCCCUCAGCUUGUAUUAGUAAUGGGGGUUGCCUUGAUCCAGGUGCAAGUCCUUGCACUUGGAUUUGUUGCACCUUUUGAUGUUCUUGUGGGCUCCCUGCUCAUCUGUCAUGUCCUUCUGGAUGGCAUCCUGUCGCUCAGGCGUUUUGACUGCCCUUCACAGCUCAGCAUCAUCUGCAAACUUAGUGAGGGUGCACUCCACCCCACUGUCAAUAUCACUGACGAAGAUGUUAAAUAGUAUCAGUCCUAGUACUGACCCUUUGGGACACCACUUUGUCACCUAUCUCCAUCCAUACCUGGUGCUAUUGACCACCACUCUCUGUGUUUGAUCCUGAAGCCAGUUCUUCAUCUAUUGAACGGUCCAGCCAUCCCAUCCAUAUCUUCCCAAUUUGGAAAGGAGGAUAUUGCAGAGGACUGUGUCAUAGACUUCACUGAAGUCCAGACAGAUGACAUCAGUGGCUCUUCCCGUGUCCACGCAUCUCAUCAGGACCCAUAGACUUGUAGAUGUUUAGGUUCCUCAGGUGGUCAUGAACCUGACCUUUGCUUACAGGGGGAAGGGCAUUGCUUCCCCAGUCCCCUCCUUCCCCAGUCCUCCAAACCAAACAUAUGAGGGCUGUGUGACAAGCAGUUAUCAUCAACAGGCUCCCCUUGUUCAGGUGGCCUGUAGUAGGCACAGUCACAAGGCUCUCUGAUGCCUCGGUUUCUAACAGUCACCCAUAAGUUUUCUACUAAGUUAAUAAUACCAAGUCUUACUGCCACAUUGCUGCAAAUUACAGCUAUCACAAAUAUUUCUAAAUGGUUGUUAGGCAAGCUGAGUGAAAAGAUUUGGGCUUUUGCUGGAGUACCUGAAAUUGGGUUAAAAUUAUUCUAUCUCUGGGACCCUGUAGAGAAACAAAUGUUUGAGGGGAGUCAUUUCCUUAAGAAAAUGAAAAAAAAUCCCCUGCUCACAGCAAACCUUUGCUGAUUUUGUUGUAUGAACAAUGCCAGUGUAGCUUGAAACAUGAAAAAGAAAAUCCUAAUUGCUGCUGGUGAUUCAUAGGUAUCUGAGGCCACAGGCCUCAGGCAGAGGUACUGGUGCAGACCAAAUUCAAAAUUGUGAACCAGAGGUCUUUUGUUUAGAAAUUAAUUAUCAUAGAAUCAUUGAAAGAUUUGAGUUGGAAUUCUAGUCCAGCUCUCCUGCAACGAACAGUAACACCUACAGCUAGACCAGGGUGCUCAGAACCCUGUUCAGUCUGACCUGGAAUGUCUCCAAAUGUACAUGUUUUGUGAUCCCACAAUUCUGACGAACAAUACUAGGCAGUGGAGCGUGAAGAAUAUUCCUC
Molecule: long non-coding RNA, 2990 nt
Organism: Lagopus muta (rock ptarmigan)
Lineage: Eukaryota; Metazoa; Chordata; Aves; Galliformes; Phasianidae
Exons: 3
Source: RefSeq, a predicted model, not a curated record